UUUUUAGUGUAAGUAUGUCCCAUUCAGUAUUUUGUGACAUACUUAUACUAAAA
RNAcentral lists this microRNA precursor (53 nucleotides) under Camelus bactrianus (Bactrian camel). RNAcentral's name for it is "mir-1302 microRNA precursor family". It matches the Rfam family "mir-1302 microRNA precursor family". The record is from Rfam by way of RNAcentral. RNAcentral also lists the same sequence under 3 other names. Lineage: Eukaryota; Metazoa; Chordata; Mammalia; Artiodactyla; Camelidae.